GUCUGCAUGGAGCCGACCUUGAAAUACCACCCUUUAAUGUUUGAUGUUCUAACGUGGACCCGUAAUCCGGGUUGCGGACAGUGUCUGGUGGGUAGUUUGACUGGGGCGGUCUCCUCCUAAAGAGUAACGGAGGAGCACGAAGGUUGGCUAAUCCUGGUCGGACAUCAGGAGGUUAGUGCAAUGGCAUAAGCCAGCUUGACUGCGAGCGUGACGGCGCGAGCAGGUGCGAAAGCAGGUCAUAGUGAUCCGGUGGUUCUGAAUGGAAGGGCCAUCGCUCAACGGAUAAAAGGUACUCCGGGGAUAACAGGCUGAUACCGCCCAAGAGUUCAUAUCGACGGCGGUGUUUGGCACCUCGAUGUCGGCUCAUCACAUCCUGGGGCUGAAGUAGGUCCCAAGGGUAUGGCUGUUCGCCAUUUAAAGUGGUACGCGAGCUGGGUUUAGAACGUCGUGAGACAGUUCGGUCCCUAUCUGCCGUGGGCGCUGGAGAACUGAGGGGGGCUGCUCCUAGUACGAGAGGACCGGAGUGGACGCAUCACUGGUGUUCGGGUUGUCAUGCCAAUGGCACU
This 566-nucleotide ribosomal RNA is filed under the name Salmonella enterica. RNAcentral describes it as "partial 23S ribosomal RNA". It matches the Rfam family "Bacterial large subunit ribosomal RNA", at positions 2174 to 2739 of the family's 2925-position model. RNAcentral also lists the same sequence under 2 other names. Lineage: Bacteria; Pseudomonadati; Pseudomonadota; Gammaproteobacteria; Enterobacterales; Enterobacteriaceae. The record is from RNAcentral.